This is a long non-coding RNA of Brassica napus (rape), 3759 nucleotides long. RefSeq lists it as uncharacterized. The transcript is spliced from 3 exons. The record is from RefSeq and is a predicted model, not a curated record. Lineage: Eukaryota; Viridiplantae; Streptophyta; Magnoliopsida; Brassicales; Brassicaceae.
ACUACCUAAGUAAAUACUAAAAAACUUCAUAAACUUUAUCUUUUGAACAUGAAAGCGCUAAUAAAGCUAAUGGUCGAUCAAAUCAUUACGAAAAUAAUACAUAUGAAUUCGCCGGUCAUUCUUAUAUCAACUUAAUCAAACUGUGUGACUUCCAAAUGUUAUGUUCAUCACCAUUAUAUACAACACGGAAAAACAAAAGUGGAAAAAAAUAAACGACAAAAUCCCGUACACAAAACUACACAACGAUCAAUAACUUAUCCGGCUCCGUGCUUGCGCGGAAGCUAUCCCCUAGUAUUCACUAAUGACUCAAUGGAAACACCCACGUCACAUUCUUAGUUACCGCAUACGUAUUCAUUGUACUCAAUAAUGUCUAGAUAAAAUAUAAUACUUUUUCAGUGGUUUAUUCUAUUUACUAGGCACACUAAACCCAUUUCGAUAACAAGUAAUAACAACAUAAUAAAGAAGGUGAAUUUAGGGAAGAAGUUAGGGUUUUUAGUAAUUAAACCCUUCAACCAAACCAAAAAUGAAUCGUAAACAAAACACUUAGCUAAAAAUCUUGUGAAAUAAAAUCUCAACUUUAAUUUUAUUAACAUAUGUUACCUUCCAUCUGAAAAACCAUGACGGAAGAAUACAUAUGUUAAUGGUUUAUAAGUUGUGGAUUUAUAAUGUUGAAACUUAGUUGAGGGAUUUUUUCACUAAAACUCAUUAAAUUUUUUAAAAUCUUUAUUAUCAUUUAUAUAUUGUUUUAGAUUGAUUUAUAAGUCUUUAAAACUAAACUAUAAAUUAUAAUAUAUUAAUUUAUAACCGACUUAUAAAACUUCAUAAGCAUUUUAAUACUUUUACAUAUGAUUAAUACGGUUUCUAAAUGAUUUAUAAAUUUUUACAAUUUCUGCUACAUUUGAGGAUAAAAUAAUCGAACAUUAUUCCUGAUACUACUGAACCAUAAAUUAAUACAAUAAAUCAAGAAUAAUAUAUCAAAUAUAUUAUUUUAUUGAUGAAGAAAACAAACAAAAAUAUAAUAUAUUGGAAUAAAAAUAAUCAUGCACUAUUUUUUGGGAUAGGGGGACAAUAUGAGCGAGAGGACGAAAAUCAUGAAAAUAGGAAAAAAUGUGUCAUAACUCUAAAUAGAAAUAUUGACUUCAUGGAUGAAUUAUCCUCCACAAUUUUUAAGACUUAAUAUAACUUAGAAACUAUAAAUUAUUUGAUAUUUGACAACGACGAUAUAAACACACAAAUUUUCUUAUAUCACUAUUACCAAAUAUCAAAUAAUUUAAUAUUUUGAAGUUAUAUUAAGUUGCAAGUAGUGUUUAAAAUUAUUAAUUUAGGAUGUAUAAAUUAAUUUUAUCAUAAAUUAAAGUAUUAAAAUUUAUAUAUUAGUUUUAAAGGCUUAUAAAUCAAUCUAAAACAAUGUAUAAAUGAUAAUAAGAAUAUUUUAAAAUAUUUAAUAACUUUUAGUGAUGAAACCCCUUAACUAGUUUUGAAUCGUAAAAAAAAAACUUCAACUAAGUUUUCAACAUUAUAAACCCUCAACUUAUAAACCAUUAAUGUAUGUCAUCCUCCGUCACGGUUUUUUAGACGGAAGAUAACAUAUGUUAAUGAAAUUAAAAUUGAGGGUUAAUUUCACAGGAUUAUUAGUUGCGGUUUUUUUUUACCAGUUGAAGGGUUUAAUUACUAAAAACCCAAGAAGUUAAUAUUGACUCCAACCUCACCCCCACCUUCUAAAUACUAAACUUUCAAUCAUAAUCAGUAAAUCAUAAACCCAAAUAUAAACUUUAAAUUCAAGUAUCAAAAUUUGAAAAUAGUAAUAAUAUUUUGUAGUAUUAAACUAUAUUAUAUAAAUCUAAAUUAUAAAAUAGACCGAUAAUUGAAUUUAAUGCCGACUCCACCCUCUAAAUACUAAACUCUAAACUCUAGUCACUAAACCUUAAAUCUAAAUAUCAAAAUCUGAAAAUAAUACAUAAUAUUUUCUAAUAUAAAACUAUACUAUAUAAACAUGAAUUAUAGAACAGACUUGAUUUGGGUUUAAUGUCGCCCGACCUCACUUCCACCUUCUAAAUACUAAACACUAAGACGUAAUCACUAAAUUUUAAACCCAAAAAUAAAACAUAAACCAAAGUAUCAAAAUCUGAAGUACAUAAUAUUUGUAAUAUUAAAUUAUACUAUUUUUCUAAUCGAAUAUAACAUUAUAAUCUGUGAAAAUUUUUACACAUGAUUUUAUAAGGACGUUUGUAUAAACGGUAUAAAAUGAUUACGAAUUGACAAAGAAAUAUUAUAAAAUUAAUAAUUUGGAUCAUUGUACAUAAAUGAAACAUUGGAACAUGUUGCUGUUUCUGUUUCGUCGUCCUUGGGACUGUCAAUUAGAAUCAGAAACGUCUCUCCGCUUUUCUCAACACAUUAGAGCAGCAUUAACCAGGAUGCUUAACUGGAUGCUUAAAGAAUUUUGUAUUUAAAAAAAAAAAUAUGAAGUAAUUAUUGAAGACACGGCGCUUAAUUUAGCUUCAGAAGAAGCGCAUCUUAUGAGACACGUGUUGCACCAUGGUUUCUCUACGUCUCUUUCUCUCUCACUCAGGAAACCAAAGCGUCUCUUGUGUUCUCUCGACGACUCCGCCUUCGUGUUCUCUCUCUCGACGAAAUCGAGAAUCGACGGUGCUCUCCCGUCGUGAUCUCUCUCGACGCCUCCGUGAUAUUUCCUCGACGCCUCCGUGAUCUCUCGUCGCGACGCCUCCGUGAUCUCUCUCGACGCCUCCGUGAUCUCUCCUCGACGCCUCCGUGAUCUCUCCUCGACGCCUCUGUGAUCUCUCGUCGUGAUCUCUCCUCGACGCCUCUUUGAUCUCUCCUCGACGCAUCCGUGAUCUCUCCGACUCCGCCUCCGUGAUCUCUCCUCCUGAUCCAUCCUCGAAGAUUAUCUCUCCUCGAUGAAUCAGUCGAAGAUUAUCUCUCUUCGUCUUUUUUGCUCCUCGACGACUCCGCGGUGAAUCUCUCGGCGACUCUCUGUGUCGAUCUCCUCCAUCUCUCUCUCUCGACAGCUCACCUCGAUGAAGAAUCACCUCACAUCUCUCUCAGGCCCAGAGCUCUCCUAGACAUAUCUUUCCUCUCUCUCAGGCCCGGAGCUCUUCUCGACGAAAGAUUGACGGAUCAAGAUAUGAAGGUUCGUCACAGAAGACGACUACUUAGGUUCAUUGAUAUGUUGUAGCUUCUGCUCUUUGGUUAUAUUCGUUGCUCGUGUUUACUUAGGUUCAGAUAGUAUGCAAUGAAUUGAUAUGUUGUAGCUUCUGUUCUGGUCUGAAAUGAUAUAAUUUAGCUUAUGCUUUGGAAUUUGAUCUGAAUUGAAUCGAGUGUCAUGUUCUGUUACUCAUAUUUGUUUUGUUUCUGUGUGUUUGUAUGUUGAGCUGCACGGAUCAAGCUAGAUGAGGCAGAAUCGUCAAACCAGAGGAAUACAUUUGCUACAGAAAUACAUGUAUAUGUCUUCAUCUUGUAAAGUCAUUGAUGUUGGUCACGGGUGAAGAUAGAUUGAAAGAUUCACGGACGAAGAAGCUUGCGCAUUGUGUAGUGAUAGGUUUGUAAGCUAGUGUGACUUUUGUAUCACAGAUUGUUUUUUGAACAUGUGAUACGUUUGUAAGCUAGUGUGACUUUGGUAUCUCUCUUGUUUGCUUGUAUCACGGAUCCUUCUAUUUGGAUUCACGAGACUUGUAUCAUCAAGUGUAGCAUUAUUAAACUUGUAAUGUGUAGCAUUAUAAAACCUUUGAUCAUCUCAUUCUC